RNAcentral lists this ribosomal RNA (459 nucleotides) under uncultured bacterium. Its description in RNAcentral is "bacterial SSU rRNA". It matches the Rfam family "Bacterial small subunit ribosomal RNA", at positions 28 to 489 of the family's 1533-position model. The record is from RNAcentral.
GAUGAACGCUAGCGGCAGGCUUAACACAUGCAAGUCGAGGGGUAUUGGUUUUCGGACCAAGAGACCGGCGCACGGGUGCGUAACGCGUAUGCAAUCUACCUUUUGCAGAGGGAUAGCCCAGAGAAAUUUGGAUUAAUACCUCAUAGUAUAGUACUUUGGCAUCAAGGAACUAUUAAAGUCACAACGGCAAAAGAUGAGCAUGCGUCCCAUUAGCUAGUUGGUAAGGUAACGGCUUACCAAGGCUACGAUGGGUAGGGGUCCUGAGAGGGAGAUCCCCCACACUGGUACUGAGACACGGACCAGACUCCUACGGGAGGCAGCAGUGAGGAAUAUUGGACAAUGGGCGCAAGCCUGAUCCAGCCAUGCCGCGUGCAGGAUNACGGUCCUAUGGAUUGUAAACUGCUUUGUACAGGAAGAAACACUCCGACGUGUCGGAGCUUGACGGUACUGUAAGAAUAA